RNAcentral lists this ribosomal RNA (894 nucleotides) under Bacillus sp. HN07. Its description in RNAcentral is "bacterial SSU rRNA". It matches the Rfam family "Bacterial small subunit ribosomal RNA", at positions 92 to 963 of the family's 1533-position model. Lineage: Bacteria; Bacillati; Bacillota; Bacilli; Caryophanales; Bacillaceae. The record is from RNAcentral.
UUAGCGGCGGACGGGUGAGUAACACGUGGGUAACCUGCCUGUAAGACUGGGAUAACUCCGGGAAACCGGGGCUAAUACCGGAUGGUUGUUUGAACCGCAUGGUUCAAACAUAAAAGGUGGCUUCGGCUACCACUUACAGAUGGACCCGCGGCGCAUUAGCUAGUUGGUGAGGUAAUGGCUCACCAAGGCAACGAUGCGUAGCCGACCUGAGAGGGUGAUCGGCCACACUGGGACUGAGACACGGCCCAGACUCCUACGGGAGGCAGCAGUAGGGAAUCUUCCGCAAUGGACGAAAGUCUGACGGAGCAACGCCGCGUGAGUGAUGAAGGUUUUCGGAUCGUAAAGCUCUGUUGUUAGGGAAGAACAAGUACCGUUCGAAUAGGGCGGCACCUUGACGGUACCUAACCAGAAAGCCACGGCUAACUACGUGCCAGCAGCCGCGGUAAUACGUAGGUGGCAAGCGUUGUCCGGAAUUAUUGGGCGUAAAGGGCUCGCAGGCGGUUUCUUAAGUCUGAUGUGAAAGCCCCCGGCUCAACCGGGGAGGGUCAUUGGAAACUGGGGAACUUGAGUGCAGAAGAGGAGAGUGGAAUUCCACGUGUAGCGGUGAAAUGCGUAGAGAUGUGGAGGAACACCAGUGGCGAAGGCGACUCUCUGGUCUGUAACUGACGCUGAGGAGCGAAAGCGUGGGGAGCGAACAGGAUUAGAUACCCUGGUAGUCCACGCCGUAAACGAUGAGUGCUAAGUGUUAGGGGGGUUUCCGCCCCUUAGUGCUGCAGCUAACGCAUUUAAGCACUUCCGCCUGGGGAGUACGGUCGCAAAGACUGAAACUCAAAGGAAUUGAACGGGGGGCCCGCACAAGCGGUGGAGCUAUGUGGUUUUAAUUUCGAAAGCCAA